CAGCCGCCGCGGGAACACGUAGGGUGCAAGCGUUAAUCGGAUUUACUGGGCGUAAAGCGUGCGUAGGCGGCUUCUUAAGUCGGAUGUGAAAUCCCUGAGCUUAACUUAGGAAUUGCAUUCGAUACUGGGAAGCUAGAGUAUGGGAGAGGAUGGUAGAAUUCCAGGUGUAGCGGUGAAAUGCGUAGAGAUCUGGAGGAAUACCGAUGGCGAAGGCAGCCAUCUGGCCUAAUACUGACGCUGAGGUACAAAAGCAUGGGGAGCAAACAGGAUUAGAUACCCGAGUAGUCCCUGUCUCUUAUAC
Molecule: ribosomal RNA, 301 nt
Filed under: uncultured bacterium
Lineage: Bacteria
Description: partial 16S ribosomal RNA
Rfam family: Bacterial small subunit ribosomal RNA
Source: RNAcentral